This 497-nucleotide ribosomal RNA is filed under the name uncultured bacterium. RNAcentral's name for it is "partial 16S ribosomal RNA". It matches the Rfam family "Bacterial small subunit ribosomal RNA", at positions 28 to 507 of the family's 1533-position model. The record is from RNAcentral.
GAUGAACGCUGGCGGCGUGCCUAAUACAUGCAAGUCGAGCGAACAGACGAGGAGCUUGCUCCUCUGACGUUAGCGGCGGACGGGUGAGUAACACGUGGAUAACCUACCUAUAAGACUGGGAUAACUUCGGGAAACCGGAGCUAAUACCGGAUAAUAUAUUGAACCGCAUGGUUCAAUAGUGAAAGACGGUUUUGCUGUCACUUAUAGAUGGAUCCGCGCCGCAUUAGCUAGUUGGUAAGGUAACGGCUUACCAAGGCAACGAUGCGUAGCCGACCUGAGAGAGGGAUCGGCCACACUGGAACGGAGACACGGUCCAUGCUCCUACGGGAGGCAGCAGUAGGCAAUCUUCCGCAAUGGGCGAAAGCCUGACGGAGCAACGCCGCGUGAGUGAUGAAGGUCUUCGGAUCGUAAAACUCUGUUAUUAGGGAAGAACAAAUGUGUAAGUAACUAUGCACGUCUUGACGGUACCUAAUCAGAAAGCCACGGCUAACUACGUG